UACAGAGGGUGCGAGCGUUUGUUCGGAAUUAUUGGGCGUAAAGGGCGCGUAGGCGGUGCGGUAAGUCACCUGUGAAAUCUCCUGGCUCAACUGGGAGCUUGCAGGCGAAACUGCCGUGCUGGAGUGCGGGAGAGGUGCGUGGAAUUCCUGGUGUAGCGGUGAAAUGCGUAGAUAUUAGGAGGAACACCUGUGGCGAAAGCGGCGCACUGGACCACAACUGACGCUGAGGCGCGAAAGCUAGGGGGAGCAAACAGG
This 255-nucleotide ribosomal RNA is filed under the name uncultured bacterium. Its description in RNAcentral is "partial 16S ribosomal RNA". It matches the Rfam family "Bacterial small subunit ribosomal RNA", at positions 524 to 776 of the family's 1533-position model. The record is from RNAcentral.